GGGGGUGUCCUGGCUUCGACGGGGGUUGCGAAAUCGCCUGGCGCAUGCCGAGGGGGCAGCUUUCCUCGUUAAUCCAGCGGCAAAACCACAGACGCCAACGACGACGUCUACGCUCUCGCCGCUUAAGGCGUAAGCCCCGAAACCACUUGUGUCCGUGCUCGUGGAGGUAGGGUCAUCAUCACGGAAUGGUUUCCGGCGGCGACCCGCCAACCGGAAACAAGAUCUAGCGGG
RNAcentral lists this transfer-messenger RNA (231 nucleotides) under Lysobacteraceae bacterium. RNAcentral describes it as "partial transfer-messenger RNA". It matches the Rfam family "transfer-messenger RNA", at positions 1 to 249 of the family's 374-position model. From Rfam's summary of the family: Bacterial tmRNA, also known as 10Sa RNA or SsrA, is named for its dual tRNA and mRNA-like properties. Its role is to liberate the mRNA from a stalled ribosome. The record is from RNAcentral. Lineage: Bacteria; Pseudomonadati; Pseudomonadota; Gammaproteobacteria; Lysobacterales; Lysobacteraceae.